This 495-nucleotide ribosomal RNA is filed under the name uncultured bacterium. RNAcentral's name for it is "partial 16S ribosomal RNA". It matches the Rfam family "Bacterial small subunit ribosomal RNA", at positions 29 to 506 of the family's 1533-position model. The record is from RNAcentral.
AUGAACGCUGGCGGCGUGCCUAAUACAUGCAAGUCGAGCGAACAGAUGAGGAGCUUGCUCCUCUGACGUUAGCGGCGGACGGGUGAGUAACACGUGGAUAACCUACCUAUAAGACUGGGAUAACUUCGGGAAACCGGAGCUAAUACCGGAUAAUAUAUUGAACCGCAUGGUUCAAUAGUGAAAUACGGUUUUGCUGUCACUUAUAGAUGGAUCCGCGCCGCAUUAGCUAGUUGGUAAGGUAACGGCUUACCAAGGCAACGAUGCGUAGCCGACCUGAGAGGGUGAUCGGCCACACUGGAACUGAGACACGGUCCAGACUCCUACGGGAGGCAGCAGUAGGGAAUCUUCCGCAAUGGGCGAAAGCCUGACGGAGCAACGCCGCGUGAGUGAUGAAGGUCUGCGGAUCGUAAAACGCUGUUAUUAGGGAAGAACAAAUGUGUAAGUAACUAUGCACGUCUUGACGGUACCUAAUCAGAAAGCCACGGCUAACUACGU